Molecule: transfer RNA, 68 nt
Filed under: Antrokoreana gracilipes
Lineage: Eukaryota; Metazoa; Arthropoda; Diplopoda; Julida; Nemasomatidae
Description: tRNA-Lys
Rfam family: tRNA
About the family: Transfer RNA (tRNA) molecules are approximately 80 nucleotides in length.
Source: RNAcentral
CAUUAGGUGGCUGAAUCUUAUAAGCGCUGGUCUCUUAAACCAUUUUAUAGUAAACUUACUCCUAAUGA